UACCCCACCUAGAAACGGCUUC
RNAcentral lists this microRNA (22 nucleotides) under Shrimp white spot syndrome virus. RNAcentral describes it as "wssv-mir197". The record is from RNAcentral. Lineage: Naldaviricetes; Nimaviridae.